RNAcentral lists this ribosomal RNA (505 nucleotides) under uncultured bacterium. RNAcentral's name for it is "partial 16S ribosomal RNA". It matches the Rfam family "Bacterial small subunit ribosomal RNA", at positions 28 to 507 of the family's 1533-position model. The record is from RNAcentral.
GACGAACGCUGGCGGCGUGCCUAAUACAUGCAAGUAGAACGCACAGUUUAUACCGUAGCUUGCUACACCAUAGACUGUGAGUUGCGAACGGGUGAGUAACGCGUAGGUAACCUGCCUGGUAGCGGGGGAUAACUAUUGGAAACGAUAACUAAUACCGCAUAAUAUUAAUUAUUGCAUGAUAAUUAAUUGAAAGGUGCAAUUGCACCACUACCAGAUGGACCUGCGUUGUAUUAGCUAGUAGGUGAGGUAACGGCUCACCUAGGCGACGAUACAUAGCCGACCUGAGAGGGUGAUCGGCCACACUGGGACUGAGACACGGCCCAGACUCCUACGGGAGGCAGCAGUAGGGAAUCUUCGGCAAUGGACGAAAGUCUGACCGAGCAACGCCGCGUGAGUGAAGAAGGUUUUCGGAUCGUAAAGCUCUGUUGUAAGAGAAGAACGGGUGUGAGAGUGGAAAGUUCACACUGUGACGGUAUCUUACCAGAAAGGGACGGCUAACUACGUG